Molecule: ribosomal RNA, 475 nt
Filed under: uncultured bacterium
Lineage: Bacteria
Description: bacterial SSU rRNA
Rfam family: Bacterial small subunit ribosomal RNA
Source: RNAcentral
UCAGUCGACUCCUACGGGGAGGCAGCAGUGGGGAAUAUUGCACAAUGGGGGAAACCCUGAUGCAGCCAUGCCGCGUGUGUGAAGAAGGCCUUCGGGUUGUAAAGCACUUUCAGUAGGGAGGAAGGUAGUGUAGUUAACACCUGCACUAUUUGACGUUACCUACAGAAGAAGCACCGGCUAACUCCGUGCCAGCAGCCGCGGUAAUACGGAGGGUGCGAGCGUUAAUCGGAAUUACUGGGCGUAAAGCGCAUGCAGGCGGCCUGUUAAGUCAGAUGUGAAAGCCCGGGGCUUAACCUCGGAAUUGCAUUUGAAACUGGCAGGCUAGAGUCUUGUAGAGGGGGGUAGGAAUUUCAGGUGUAGCGGUGAAAUGCGUAGAGAUCUGAAGGAAUACCAGUGGCGAAGGCGACCCCCUGGACAAAGACUGACGCUCAGAUGCGAAAGCGUGGGGAGCAAACAGGAUUAGAUACCCUGGUAG